GAUUAAGUUAUUAAGGGCGCACGGUGGAUGCCUUGGCACUAGAAGCCGAUGAAGGACGUUACUAACGACGAUAUGCUUUGGGGAGCUGUAAGUAAGCUUUGAUCCAGAGAUUUCCGAAUGGGGAAACCCAGCAUGAGUUAUGUCAUGUUAUCGAUAUGUGAAUACAUAGCAUAUCAGAAGGCACACCCGGAGAACUGAAACAUCUUAGUACCCGGAGGAAGAGAAAGAAAAUUCGAUUCCCUUAGUAGCGGCGAGCGAAACGGGAAGAGCCCAAACCAACAAGCUUGCUUGUUGGGGUUGUAGGACACUCUAUACGGAGUUACAAAGGACGACAUUAGACGAAUCAUCUGGAAAGAUGAAUCAAAGAAGGUAAUAAUCCUGUAGUCGAAAAUGUUUUCKCUCUUGAGUGGAUCCUGAGUACGACGGAGCACGUGAAAUUCCGUCGGAAUCUGGGAGGACCAUCUCCUAAGGCUAAAUACUCUCUAGUGACCGAUAGUGAACCAGUACCGUGAGGGAAAGGUGAAAAGCACCCCGGAAGGGGAGUGAAAUAGAACCUGAAACCGUGUGCUUACAAGUAGUCAGAGCCCGUUAAUGGGUGAUGGCGUGCCUUUUGUAGAAUGAACCGGCGAGUUACGAUUUGAUGCAAGGUUAAGCAGUAAAUGUGGAGCCGUAGCGAAAGCGAGUCUGAAUAGGGCGUUUAGUAUUUGGUCGUAGACCCGAAACCAGGUGAUCUACCCUUGGUCAGGUUGAAGUUCAGGUAACACUGAAUGGAGGACCGAACCGACUUACGUUGAAAAGUGAGCGGAUGAACUGAGGGUAGCGGAGAAAUUCCAAUCGAACCUGGAGAUAGCUGGUUCUCUCCGAAAUAGCUUUAGGGCUAGCCUCAAGUGAUGAUUAUUGGAGGUAGAGCACUGUUUGGACGAGGGGCCCCUCUCGGGUUACCGAAUUCAGACAAACUCCGAAUGCCAAUUAAUUUAACUUGGGAGUCAGAACAUGGGUGAUAAGGUCCGUGUUCGAAAGGGAAACAGCCCAGACCACCAGCUAAGGUCCCAAAAUAUAUGUUAAGUGGAAAAGGAUGUGGCGUUGCCCAGACAACUAGGAUGUUGGCUUAGAAGCAGCCAUCAUUUAAAGAGUGCGUAAUAGCUCACUAGUCGAGUGACACUGCGCCGAAAAUGUACCGGGGCUAAACAUAUUACCGAAGCUGUGGAUUGUCCUUUGGACAAUGGUAGGAGAGCGUUCUAAGGGCGUUGAAGCAUGAUCGUAAGGACAUGUGGAGCGCUUAGAAGUGAGAAUGCCGGUGUGAGUAGCGAAAGACGGGUGAGAAUCCCGUCCACCGAUUGACUAAGGUUUCCAGAGGAAGGCUCGUCCGCUCUGGGUUAGUCGGGUCCUAAGCUGAGGCCGACAGGCGUAGGCGAUGGAUAACAGGUUGAUAUUCCUGUACCACCUAUAAUCGUUUUAAUCGAUGGGGGGACGCAGUAGGAUAGGCGAAGCGUGCGAUUGGAUUGCACGUCUAAGCAGUAAGGCUGAGUAUUAGGCAAAUCCGGUACUCGUUAAGGCUGAGCUGUGAUGGGGAGAAGACAUUGUGUCUUCGAGUCGUUGAUUUCACACUGCCGAGAAAAGCCUCUAGAUAGAAAAUAGGUGCCCGUACCGCAAACCGACACAGGUAGUCAAGAUGAGAAUUCUAAGGUGAGCGAGCGAACUCUCGUUAAGGAACUCGGCAAAAUGACCCCGUAACUUCGGGAGAAGGGGUGCUCUUUAGGGUUAACGCCCAGAAGAGCCGCAGUGAAUAGGCCCAAGCGACUGUUUAUCAAAAACACAGGUCUCUGCUAAACCGUAAGGUGAUGUAUAGGGGCUGACGCCUGCCCGGUGCUGGAAGGUUAAGAGGAGUGGUUAGCUUCUGCGAAGCUACGAAUCGAAGCCCCAGUAAACGGCGGCCGUAACUAUAACGGUCCUAAGGUAGCGAAAUUCCUUGUCGGGUAAGUUCCGACCCGCACGAAAGGCGUAACGAUUUGGGCACUGUCUCAACGAGAGACUCGGUGAAAUCAUAGUACCUGUGAAGAUGCAGGUUACCCGCGACAGGACGGAAAGACCCCGUGGAGCUUUACUGUAGCCUGAUAUUGAAAUUCGGCACAGCUUGUACAGGAUAGGUAGGAGCCUUUGAAACGUGAGCGCUAGCUUACGUGGAGGCGCUGGUGGGAUACUACCCUAGCUGUGUUGGCUUUCUAACCCGCACCACUUAUCGUGGUGGGAGACAGUGUCAGGCGGGCAGUUUGACUGGGGCGGUCGCCUCCUAAAAGGUAACGGAGGCGCUCAAAGGUUCCCUCAGAAUGGUUGGAAAUCAUUCAUAGAGUGUAAAGGCAUAAGGGAGCUUGACUGCGAGACCUACAAGUCGAGCAGGGUCGAAAGACGGACUUAGUGAUCCGGUGGUUCCGCAUGGAAGGGCCAUCGCUCAACGGAUAAAAGCUACCCCGGGGAUAACAGGCUUAUCUCCCCCAAGAGUUCACAUCGACGGGGAGGUUUGGCACCUCGAUGUCGGCUCAUCGCAUCCUGGGGCUGUAGUCGGUCCCAAGGGUUGGGCUGUUCGCCCAUUAAAGCGGUACGCGAGCUGGGUUCAGAACGUCGUGAGACAGUUCGGUCCCUAUCCGUCGUGGGCGUAGGAAAUUUGAGAGGAGCUGUCCUUAGUACGAGAGGACCGGGAUGGACAUACCUCUGGUGUACCAGUUGUCGUGCCAACGGCAUAGCUGGGUAGCUAUGUGUGGACGGGAUAAGUGCUGAAAGCAUCUAAGCAUGAAGCCCCCCUCAAGAUGAGAUUUCCCAACUUCGGUUAUAAGAUCCCUCAAAGAUGAUGAGGUUAAUAGGUUCGAGGUGGAAGCAUGGUGACAUGUGGAGCUGACGAAUACUAAUCGAUCGAAGACUUAAUCAA
This 2923-nucleotide ribosomal RNA is filed under the name Staphylococcus aureus. Its description in RNAcentral is "23S ribosomal RNA". The record is from RNAcentral. Lineage: Bacteria; Bacillati; Bacillota; Bacilli; Caryophanales; Staphylococcaceae.